UACGUAGGGCGCAAGCGUUAUCCGGAAUUAUUGGGCGUAAAGAGCUCGUAGGCGGUUUGUCGCGUCUGCCGUGAAAGUCCGGGCUCAACUCCGGAUCUGCGGUGGGUACGGGCAGACUAGAGUGAUGUAGGGGAGACUGGAAUUCCUGGUGUAGCGGUGAAAUGCGCAGAUAUCAGGAGGAACACCGGUGGCGAAGGCGGGUCUCUGGGCCGAUACUGACGCUGAGGAGCGAAAGCGUGGGGAGCGAACAGG
RNAcentral lists this ribosomal RNA (252 nucleotides) under uncultured bacterium. Its description in RNAcentral is "partial 16S ribosomal RNA". It matches the Rfam family "Bacterial small subunit ribosomal RNA", at positions 524 to 776 of the family's 1533-position model. The record is from RNAcentral.